AGAUUAAGUUAUUAAGGGCGCACGGUGGAUGCCUUGGCACUAGAAGCCGAUGAAGGACGUUACUAACGACGAUAUGCUUUGGGGAGCUGUAAGUAAGCUUUGAUCCAGAGAUUUCCGAAUGGGGAAACCCAGCAUGAGUUAUGUCAUGUUAUCGAUAUGUGAAUACAUAGCAUAUCAGAAGGCACACCCGGAGAACUGAAACAUCUUAGUACCCGGAGGAAGAGAAAGAAAAUUCGAUUCCCUUAGUAGCGGCGAGCGAAACGGGAAGAGCCCAAACCAACAAGCUUGCUUGUUGGGGUUGUAGGACACUCUAUACGGAGUUACAAAGGACGACAUUAGACGAAUCAUCUGGAAAGAUGAAUCA
RNAcentral lists this ribosomal RNA (364 nucleotides) under Staphylococcus aureus. RNAcentral's name for it is "partial 23S ribosomal RNA". It matches the Rfam family "Bacterial large subunit ribosomal RNA", at positions 1 to 357 of the family's 2925-position model. Lineage: Bacteria; Bacillati; Bacillota; Bacilli; Caryophanales; Staphylococcaceae. The record is from RNAcentral.